CAAGCUAACCUAAGAGGUAUUAUUAUUUACAAUAAUAUGAAGAUUGUGCAAUUCAGUCUAGUUUGA
RNAcentral lists this transfer RNA (66 nucleotides) under Geocoris pallidipennis. RNAcentral's name for it is "tRNA-Val". Lineage: Eukaryota; Metazoa; Arthropoda; Insecta; Hemiptera; Geocoridae. The record is from RNAcentral.